Molecule: unclassified non-coding RNA, 372 nt
Filed under: uncultured Prolixibacteraceae bacterium
Lineage: Bacteria; Pseudomonadati; Bacteroidota; Bacteroidia; Marinilabiliales; Prolixibacteraceae
Description: contains 16S-23S intergenic spacer region
Source: RNAcentral
UCUCACCUUACGGCGGCAGUCCCGCUAGAGUCCCCGACUUUACCCGCUGGCAACUAACAGUAAGGGUUGCGCUCGUUAUGGGACUUAACCCGACACCUCACGGCACGAGCUGACGACAACCAUGCAGCACCUUGAAGAACGUCCGAAGAAAUCCGCCUUUCAGCAAACGCCGUUCCCCAUUUAAGCCCAGGUAAGGUUCCUCGCGUAUCAUCGAAUUAAACCACAUGUUCCUCCGCUUGUGCGGGCCCCCGUCAAUUCCUUUGAGUUUCAACCUUGCGAUCGUACUCCCCAGGUGGCUCACUUAUUGCUUUCACGCAGCCGCUUGCUGUCUAUCGCAAACAGCGGGUGAGCAUCGUUUACAGCGUGGACUAC